UCCAGGGUAUCCUUGGAUGCCUCACCAUCUCCUAUCGCCCCUCCAAAUAGCACACUGCUAGGUGGCUCUGGGACAGAGAGCAUUCUGGACAAAGUUUAAAGUGGACCACGGUUGAUUCGCAAUCCAAGCCAGUUCCAGGAUGUUUGGGGGUUGCUCCUGGUCAGGCCUGCCAUGCCUCUGGAGCCUUCAUGCGGGUCUACGAUGCUUUGGAAGACCAC
Non-coding RNA from Pelobates cultripes (western spadefoot toad), 218 nucleotides. The record is from the annotation of a GenBank genome assembly. NCBI's taxonomy places the organism in Eukaryota, Metazoa, Chordata, Amphibia, Anura, Pelobatidae.